RNAcentral lists this ribosomal RNA (501 nucleotides) under uncultured bacterium. RNAcentral describes it as "partial 16S ribosomal RNA". It matches the Rfam family "Bacterial small subunit ribosomal RNA", at positions 30 to 523 of the family's 1533-position model. The record is from RNAcentral.
AUCGAACGCUGGCGGCAGGCUUAACACAUGCAAGUCGAGCGGAGAUGAGGUGCUUGCACCUUAUCUUAGCGGCGGACGGGUGAGUAAUGCUUAGGAAUCUGCCUAUUAGUGGGGGACAACAUUCCGAAAGGAAUGCUAAUACCGCAUACGUCCUACGGGAGAAAGCAGGGGAUCUUCGGACCUUGCGCUAAUAGAUGAGCCUAAGUCGGAUUAGCUAGUUGGUGGGGUAAAGGCCUACCAAGGCGACGAUCUGUAGCGGGUCUGAGAGGAUGAGCCGCCACACUGGGACUGAGACACGGCCCAGACUCCUACGGGAGGCAGCAGUGGGGAAUAUUGGACAAUGGGGGGAACCCUGAUCUAGCCAUGCCGCGUGUGUGAAGAAGGCCUUAUGGUUGUAAAGCACUUUAAGCGAGGAGGAGGCUACUGAGACUAAUACUCUUGGAUAGUGGACGUUACUCGCAGAAUAAGCACCGGCUAACUCUGUGCCAGCAGCCGCCGUAA